UAGGGAAUUUUCGUCAAUGGGGGGAACCCUGAACGAGCAAUGCCGCGUGUGUGAAGAAGGUCUUCGGAUCGUAAAGCACUGUUGUAAGUGAAGAAUGCCAUAUAGAGGAAAUGCUAUGUGGGUGACGGUAGCUUACCAGAAAGCCACGGCUAACUACGUGCCAGCAGCCGCGGUAAUACGUAGGUGGCAAGCGUUAUCCGGAAUCAUUGGGCGUAAAGGGUGCGUAGGUGGCACGAUAAGUCUGAAGUAAAAGGCAACAGCUCAACUGUUGUAUGCUUUGGAAACUGUCGAGCUAGAGUGCAGAAGAGGGCGAUGGAAUUCCAUGUGUAGCGGUAAAACGCGUAGAUAUAUGGAGGAACACCAGUGGCGAAGGCGGUCGCCUGGUCUGUAACUGACACUGAUGCACGAAAGCGUGGGGGAGCAAAUAGGAUUAGAUACC
Molecule: ribosomal RNA, 439 nt
Filed under: uncultured bacterium
Lineage: Bacteria
Description: bacterial SSU rRNA
Rfam family: Bacterial small subunit ribosomal RNA
Source: RNAcentral